This 200-nucleotide ribosomal RNA is filed under the name uncultured bacterium. RNAcentral's name for it is "partial 16S ribosomal RNA". It matches the Rfam family "Bacterial small subunit ribosomal RNA", at positions 29 to 256 of the family's 1533-position model. The record is from RNAcentral.
AACGAACGCUGGCGGCAGGCCUAACACAUGCAAGUCGAACGCCCCGGCAACAGGGAGUGGCAGACGGGUGAGUAACGCGUGGGAAUCUACCUUGUGGUACGGAACAACCAAGGGAAACUUUGGCUAAUACCGUAUGAGCCCUUCGGGGGAAAGAUUUAUCGCCAUAAGAUGAGCCCGCGUAGGAUUAGCUAGUUGGUGAG